UGAAGGUUGAAUUGUUUGUCGAAAGUUCAGAGAAAGACGUAGUCAGGUAAUAACAUAUUACAUUCUACAAUAUACACAUUAUCAUUUGCGGCAAAAUUCUUUUUCUUCCUGUUCCCUAUAUUCUGAGUUGGUAUGCUCAAAAGCUUUUUAAUCAUAUACGCUUUAAUAAAAUAAUUUGAUCGUUUUAUAAACAAGAAAUUUUAUCCUGAUUCCAUUAUUGUUUCAUAAACAUGAUGCUGAUAUUUAAUCCUUUAAUAUUUUCUUGUUUAUAAUUUUUUGACAUAGUUCGUUAGAUUGUCUAAUAAAUCUGCCUUUUUACCGCUCACUCUAAGUCCACGAUCCCUGAGAAUAUCUUUAAGUUGACUAACUUUUAACGCCUUCAUAUGAACUGUUACUAAUCAAGAUCUUACAAGAUAAAUGAAGUACUUACUUUUAUCUCCUUGUCCAAAACUCCUUCGAUGUAAAGCUGCUUCAGACGAUCAUCUUCAGCAAAUAUAGGUUUUCCACUCUUUUCUAUUCGAGCCUUUUUCACAAUUGGUCCCUGAUCCUCUUCUUCCUCUUUUAUUCCGUUUUUAUCAGAAAUAUCGUUACGAUAUUCAGCGACAAUAUUAUUAACAUCGCCCAUGUACUCCCCGACGCGCUAAAAUGUUAACAUGGUUGUACAAGGCAACUAAAGCUUUCAUACCUUUUGAAUAGCUUUGUAUUUUGGUAGAGUAUUAUCAACAAAGUCAGUCGGAAUUUCUUCGUCAAGCGCCAGCGCUUGGAGAACUUUGUAAUGCCACUGCAAAGAUGGGUUGUUAUAUUUUCCUGGCUGGUAUGAACGCAGCUCCAUACCACGUAAAAUACGUUGCAUCGUUUCGAUUAAAUUGCUAGGCAUGGAUAUCGGAUUCGGAUUGAUAGGCGGGAGACUACGGAUAUCAUCUGCUGUUGGAAGUUGAACAAGAAAUAUACCUAGCGGUAAUUCAAAAUCGUCUCGAAUGUGAAUAGACCCCGGUGUCGCUAGCAUAGCAACAAAACAAGGGUUAGCAUUUGGUCUCGAAACAAACCAUGCAAUACCAAUUUUGUUUGAAGCCAGCAGCUUUUUAUGGAUGGCGGAGAAAACGGCACCACUUCCAAUUAUUUCAUCAUCUUUCGGCCUCAAAAAUACAGCAGGCUUUAAGCAGUGCCAGGGUUUUAGAGUUGAAAAGUCACGAAACCCAAUUAUCCGUAAUGUAGGAGGCUCAAAUGAUCUCACCUUGUUAAGUUCAUCUGAGCCAAAGACAACAGAUGAUCCCCCGUAGCUAUACGAUCUUCUUAUUUCAUCCUUUUUAAGCUCCUUUUUCGUAGCAAAACUGACUUGUUUGCUUUGAGGAACUGCUACGGCAAAUCGCUCACCUUUUGCAUACACCCAAUUAGUUUUGGCUGAUUCUAAACGUUUCAACAAGAUAAAGGCCUCAACUCCAAUUCUCACGUCGUUACCAAGAUCCAUUUUCAAAUGAAAAUGAGCUCUUUUCGGUUUUUGUAAAGCUGUAAUCAUAUUGAGCAUAUGUUGCAGCUGAGCUUGACCCCUGUUGACUAGAUUAGACACAUCUUGCCUACCAUAAACGAUAUAUAAAAAGUCAGAAUAAAAUAUGUUUAUUCUAAAGGAAUGUGUAGGCGGAUCCAAAAAUACUGGAUGAACUUGAAUAUCCAAGUCCCUUAAAUCUUUAGCACGCUGCAAAAUAAUAUCGCGUUCAGUUGCAUCCCAAGCAGGAUGGUCAUUAUCUGU
Schizosaccharomyces pombe (fission yeast) is the source of this 1747-nucleotide non-coding RNA. NCBI's taxonomy places the organism in Eukaryota, Fungi, Ascomycota, Schizosaccharomycetes, Schizosaccharomycetales, Schizosaccharomycetaceae. The record is from the annotation of a GenBank genome assembly.